This is a long non-coding RNA of Hemibagrus wyckioides, 1372 nucleotides long. RefSeq lists it as uncharacterized. NCBI's taxonomy places the organism in Eukaryota, Metazoa, Chordata, Actinopteri, Siluriformes, Bagridae. The transcript is spliced from 3 exons. The record is from RefSeq and is a predicted model, not a curated record.
AGGUGGAUUCCAUUCUGUUCAGUGAGUUUAAGGUGUGGAAGGAGGAACCCACACUGGAGAGGAGUUGCUGUUUCUUGGAAUGAAUCUACAGAGAGGACAUUUACCCGUGUCUCACAUUCUGCAAGAGUGAGAUCACCUCCAUCUGCAACUUCUUCACCUACAUUCACUACAUCCACCAAGGACUGGUCAAGCAGCAGGAUGCUGAACAGAUGUUCUGGGAGGUCAUGCAGCUGUGUAAGGAGAUGUCCUGUGCUAAACUGGACUACUACAGAGAUGAACUGUGAACACUGAGCAAGGAGACCGUGUGUGAAAGAAACAUGCUCAGUGCAGGAGAGGGGGGUUCUGCAGUUCACCAAGACACAUCACAGGGACCAGGUCUUUCCUCACACCUCAACACUCCAGCACUGUGUGUGUGUGUGUGUGUGUGUACUGAGAUGAAAUCACUGAAAAGGGAAGAAAAAGGUGUUGGUCUACUGAUCAGAAGGUUGUGAGUUUGAAUCCCAGCUCCACCAAGCUGCCACUGCUGGGCCCCUGAGCAAGGCCCUCAACCCUCAAUUACUCAGCUGUAUAAAAUGAGAUAAAAUGUAAGUCACUGUGGAUAAGGACGUCUGCCAAAUGCCAGAAACGUAAAUGUAAAUGUCUGAUAGCUGCCUCUUGUCUCCUCAGUUCUGGUCAAACCCAUUAAAGUGUCACACUUAUUCAUAACACAUGUCACUAAGACCUAUUAUAAACAUAUUCUGUCUAAUUUAACUCGUACACCUGAAUGAAAUAAAACCUCAUAAACCUUCUGAUACUAAUUAUACUAUUUUCCUUCCACCAUCAUCGUCCUGACUCCUGCCCCUGAGGCUGACCAGUGUGUCUGUACACCAGGGGAUAGUGGAUAGUAAAACUCCUUUAUCUUCUACAUAUCUGUCUAUUGGGUUUUUUAAUAAAUGUUGGACUUUUUUAAAUGUUCUACUGCAGUUGUUGUGUCUGUUAUCCAGUGUGACAGUGCUGUUAAAGAUUCAUUUCAUUUUGUCCAACUUACAAAUCGACUUUUUGUAUUUUUGAAGGAAAAAAAGAUAAUCUCAGGUUCAUUGUGAGAGAAGUUCACACUCUGUAGCCACUGCUGAAUAUGGUUCCUGUAUUUAUGUCUGGUGUAAAUGGAGUACACAGAUAUAUAUUUUUCACAGACCAGUAGUGUCUCAGGUGCCUGAUGCCACUGAUUUAUAAUUCAGUAAUUCAGCAGAAAUUUGUUGCCAAAUCAGUUCACCGUCAGUCCACUUUGUGUUCGGAAGUCAGGGAAUUCAAGUGAAGUUUCCUUUCCCUUUGGGCUCAAGACACUUCAGUUCAUUUUUUAAGAAACUCUGAGUUUUAGCUGUGCUCCAGUGUG